RNAcentral lists this microRNA precursor (168 nucleotides) under Oryza barthii. Its description in RNAcentral is "MIR812 microRNA precursor family". It matches the Rfam family "MIR812 microRNA precursor family". The record is from Rfam by way of RNAcentral. Lineage: Eukaryota; Viridiplantae; Streptophyta; Magnoliopsida; Poales; Poaceae.
AAUAAGUACAGUUUUAUACUAUUUACGUUCAACAUUUGACCAUUCGUCUUAUUUGAAUUUUUUUAUGAUUAGUAUUUUUAUUGCUAAAUAUUUUCAAAUUUUUCACAAUUUUUUUAAAUAAGACGGACGGUCAAAUAUUGGACACGGAUAUCUACGGCUGUACUUAUU